RNAcentral lists this ribosomal RNA (428 nucleotides) under uncultured archaeon. RNAcentral's name for it is "bacterial SSU rRNA". It matches the Rfam family "Archaeal small subunit ribosomal RNA", at positions 474 to 903 of the family's 1478-position model. The record is from RNAcentral.
UACCAGCUCUCCGAGUGGUGUGGAUGUUUAUUGGGCCUAAAGCAUCCGUAGCUGGCUGGGCAAGUCCCCUGUUAAAUCCACCGAUUUAAUCGUUGGUGUGCGGGGGAUACUGUUCGACUAGGGGACGGGAGAGGCCGACGGUAUUUUCGGGGUAGGGGUGAAAUCCUAUAAUCCCGGGAAGACCACCAGUGGCGAAGGCUGUCGGCUAGAACGCGCCCGACGGUGAGGGAUGAAAGCUGGGGGAGCGAACCGGAUUAGAUACCCGGGUAGUCCCAGCUGUAAACGAUGCAGGCUAGGUGUUUGGGCGGCCACGUGCCGCUCUAGUGCCGCAGAGAAGUCGUUAAGCCUGCCGCCUGGGGAGUACGGCCGCAAGGCUGAAACUUAAAGGAAUUGGCGGGGAGCACCACAAGGGGUGAAGCUUGCGGUUU